RNAcentral lists this transfer RNA (66 nucleotides) under Haustorioides koreanus. RNAcentral describes it as "tRNA-Asp". The record is from RNAcentral. Lineage: Eukaryota; Metazoa; Arthropoda; Malacostraca; Amphipoda; Dogielinotidae.
AAGGUGCUAAUUUAAUUAAAAAUAUUAGUUUGUCAGACUAAAUACACUAGAGAGUAGUGUACCUUA